ACGGGAGUAGCAAUACUCCAGUGGCGGACGGGUGAGUAACGCGUGAGAAUCUGCCUUCUGGUCGGGGACAACCACUGGAAACGGUGGCUAAUACCGGAUGAGCCGAAGGGUAGAAGAUUAAUUGCCAGAAGAGGAGCUCGCGUCUGAUUAGCUAGUUGGUAGGGUAAAAGCCUACCAAGGCAUCGAUCAGUAGCUGGUCUGAGAGGACGAUCAGCCACACUGGGACUGAGACACGGCCCAGACUCCUACGGGAGGCAGCAGUGGGGAAUUUUCCGCAAUGGGCGAAAGCCUGACGGAGCAAGACCGCGUGAGGGAAGAAGGCUCUUGGGUCGUAAACCUCUUUUGUUAGGGAAGAACACAAUGACGGUACCUAACGAAUCAGCCUCGGCUAACUCCGUGCCAGCAGCCGCGGUAAUACGGAGGAGGCAAGCGUUAUCCGGAAUUAUUGGGCGUAAAGCGUCCGCAGGUGGCGAUUCAAGUCUGCGGUCAAAGACUGGGGCUUAACCCUGGAAAGGCCGUGGAAACUGAAGAGCUAGAGUGCAGUAGGGGUAGAGGGAAUUCCCGGUGUAGCGGUGAAAUGCGUAGAGCUCGGGAAGAACAUCGGUGGCGAAAGCGCUCUGCUGGACUGCAACUGACACUCAGGGACGAAAGCUAGGGGAGCGAAUGGGAUUAGAUACCCCAGUAGUCCUAGCCGUA
This 696-nucleotide ribosomal RNA is filed under the name uncultured cyanobacterium. Its description in RNAcentral is "bacterial SSU rRNA". It matches the Rfam family "Bacterial small subunit ribosomal RNA", at positions 66 to 804 of the family's 1533-position model. The record is from RNAcentral. Lineage: Bacteria; Bacillati; Cyanobacteriota.